RNAcentral lists this ribosomal RNA (246 nucleotides) under uncultured bacterium. Its description in RNAcentral is "partial 16S ribosomal RNA". It matches the Rfam family "Bacterial small subunit ribosomal RNA", at positions 8 to 235 of the family's 1533-position model. The record is from RNAcentral.
AGAGUUUGAUCAUGGCUCAGGAUGAACGCUGGCGGCGUGCUUAACGCAUGCAAGUCGAACGAAGCACUUUAUUACAAUUUCUUCGGAAUGACGAUUUAGUGACUGAGUGGCGGACGGGUGAGUAACGUGUGGGUAACCUGCCUUAUACAGGGGGAUAACAGUUAGAAAUGACUGCUAAUACCGCAUAAGCGCACAGGAUUGCAUGAUCUGGUGUGAAAAACUCCGGUGGUAUAAGAUGGACCCGCG